This is a long non-coding RNA of Thunnus maccoyii (southern bluefin tuna), 1720 nucleotides long. RefSeq lists it as uncharacterized. The transcript is spliced from 3 exons. Lineage: Eukaryota; Metazoa; Chordata; Actinopteri; Scombriformes; Scombridae. The record is from RefSeq and is a predicted model, not a curated record.
GAAUCCAAUGGGAACCUUUGAUUCUUAUCAACUGUGGCUGUCAGGAAUAAAUUAACUGUGGACCACACAGACUAUCAGAAGUGUCACCCCUCAGGAAGAUUAUUUUACACAGCAAGAGCUGAUACGUAUCUUUUGGUCAGAGUAACAACAACUCAGAAUAAGAAUACAGGUAGGCCUACAUAGUAAUCAAGACAAAAUGUGAAAACUGCAGACCAUAAUCCUAUUUCACAAUAAAAGUGAUAAAUGUGUUCACCGUGUUGGAGGCUAGAAUGAGCUCCAGGUGGAGGAGCUCAAGAGAGAGAAUGCAGGUGAGCUGCUUAAAUCAUUAUUGAAAGUCAAGAUGCUGCUAUCAGCAUCAAACUGACUGCAGUGUCACUAUAUUGUGUGGUUGAAAAGCAGUAUGUCAGUGAGGAAAAUAUUUUACAAACAAAAGAUGCAGUUACAUUUCUCAGAGACUGCACAUCAGUGACGUUUUCAAUAUGCACAUCUUCCACAUUUAUACAGACUGACCAAGGGUGGCGUUUUCAGUUGGUCUUACUGAUGCAGGAUCAGUUGGACCCUUUGAUACUGAAAUCGCACUUAGGAUAAGUAAAGUCUUCACCAAUGUCGGCCAGGCCUACAACCCAACUACAGGUAUCUUCACAGCCCCAGUCAGAGGAGCCUACUACUUCAGAUUCACCUUGUGGGACAACCAUAGUUCAGCUUGGAUGGGUGCUAAUCUUUAUCACAAUGACAAGAGAAUCAUGUACAGUUUAGACGGCAAUGACAGCAUUGGAUAUGUCACUGUGUCUAAUGCUUUAAUUCUUCAACUAGAAAAGGGGGGCGUGAUCUACACGACUCUCUAGUCAGACUACGUUGUUGCAGAUGAGAGUGACAAUCCCACCUUUGAUGGUUUUCUGCUUUUCCCUCUGUGAAUGCAGCUGUAAAGUACCCACAGUUAAUAUUACACAGUUUCAACAUUACUAUGUUAAAAAAUAUAAGCAUUUAUAAAAUCAAAAUGACUGUUCUGUGUUUUUGUCUGGUUAGAUGAAGAAGACUUAACAAGUCAUAUAACAUUCUCACCUAAACCAUAAAAGAAAUACAUUUUAUAAAGAAGUUAACUUUAACUGUUAAACCCAUGUUAGUGAAUGUAUCACAUCUUGCCUGGACUUUGUUUGUUUUUCUGGACUUUUUGUGUUCUUUGGGGUUUCCUGUGUUUCACUUCUGUUGUCAGUCCUUCUGGUCAUAUGAUUUUGCUUGUUAUUAUUUGGGUGGUGGGUUAGAGGACUGCAUUAUUUAGUUUAUAGUGUUGUGUACUUAAGCUUAUGUAAUUCUGGGAUGGUUUAAUUUAUGUUGGGUUGUGAUUUAGAGUAUUGUAUUUUCUGGGUUUUGGUUUUCUGUUGCUCUGUGUUUCCUUGUGUGUUCAUGUACUCUUCCACACUUGCCCUGCAUUAGUCCUGCCCUGCUCUAUUUGCCCCACACCUGCCCUGUUAGCCUCAUCAGCCCUGCCCUGCUCCCUGUGUUUCCUGAGCCAAUCGGCUCUCUGUCUGUUCACUCCCCUCUCCUGAGUUCUCCACCCAUCUCCCCACCUGCACCUCAUCUCCUCGUUAGUUCAGUUACUUUGUAAGUCCUGGUUUUCUGUUCAGUAUUUGUUGGAUCAUUUGUUUUGCCCUGUUCAGCUUUUUCUGUGUUGCCCUGUUCUGUCCUUUACUGCUUUGAGAAUAAAGAAGAUCUUCGUCAA